Molecule: ribosomal RNA, 267 nt
Filed under: uncultured bacterium
Lineage: Bacteria
Description: partial 16S ribosomal RNA
Rfam family: Bacterial small subunit ribosomal RNA
Source: RNAcentral
UGGCGACCGGUGCACGGGUGAGUAACGCGUAUCCAACCUGCCCUUUACUAUGGGACAGCCCGUCGAAAGGCGGAUUAAUACCGUAUGUUGUCAUGUUGAUGCAUAUUUUCAUGACCAAAGGCUUCGGCCGGUAAAGGAUGGGGAUGCGUCUGAUUAGCUUGCCGGCGGGGUAACGGCCCACCGGGGCGACGAUCAGUAGGGGUUCUGAGAGGAAGGUCCCCCACAUUGGAACUGAGACACGGUCCAAACUCCUACGGAAGGCAGCAG